RNAcentral lists this transfer RNA (74 nucleotides) under Ovis aries (sheep). It matches the Rfam family "tRNA". From Rfam's summary of the family: Transfer RNA (tRNA) molecules are approximately 80 nucleotides in length. Their secondary structure includes four short double-helical elements and three loops (D, anti-codon, and T loops). The record is from Rfam by way of RNAcentral. Lineage: Eukaryota; Metazoa; Chordata; Mammalia; Artiodactyla; Bovidae.
UCCCUGAUGGUCCAGUGGCUAAGACUCCAAGUUCCCAAUGCAAGACGGCCCAGGUUCGAUCCCUGGUCAGGGAA